UGCAAGUCGAGGGGCAGCAUCAUCAAAGCUUGCUUUGAUGGAUGGCGACCGGCGCACGGGUGAGUAACACGUAUCCAACCUGCCGACAACACUGGGAUAGCCUUUCGAAAGAAAGAUUAAUACCGGAUGGUAUAGUCUUCCCGCAUGGGAUGAUUAUUAAAGAAUUUCGGUUGUCGAUGGGGAUGCGUUCCAUUAGGCAGUUGGCGGGGUAACGGCCCACCAAACCUACGAUGGAUAGGGGUUCUGAGAGGAAGGUCCCCCACAUUGGAACUGAGACACGGUCCAAACUCCUACGGGAGGCAGCAGUGAGGAAUAUUGGUCAAUGGACGAGAGUCUGAACCAGCCAAGUAGCGUGAAGGAUGACUGCCCUAUGGGUUGUAAACUUCUUUUAUACGGGAAUAAAGUGAGCCACGUGUGGCUUUUUGUAUGUACCGUAUGAAUAAGGAUCGGCUAACUCCGUGCCAGCAGCCGCGGUAAUACGGAGGAUCCGAGCGUUAUCCGGAUUUAUUGGGUUUAAAGGGAGCGUAGGCGGGUUGUUAAGUCAGUUGUGAAAGUUUGCGGCUCAACCGUAAAAUUGCAGUUGAUACUGGCGACCUUGAGUGCAACAGAGGUAGGCGGAAUUCGUGGUGUAGCGGUGAAAUGCUUAGAUAUCACGAAGAACUCCGAUUGCGAAGGCAGCUUACUGGAUUGUAACUGACGCUG
This 702-nucleotide ribosomal RNA is filed under the name uncultured bacterium. Its description in RNAcentral is "bacterial SSU rRNA". It matches the Rfam family "Bacterial small subunit ribosomal RNA", at positions 56 to 748 of the family's 1533-position model. The record is from RNAcentral.